This 468-nucleotide ribosomal RNA is filed under the name uncultured bacterium. RNAcentral describes it as "partial 16S ribosomal RNA". It matches the Rfam family "Bacterial small subunit ribosomal RNA", at positions 28 to 507 of the family's 1533-position model. The record is from RNAcentral.
GACGAACGCUGGCGGCGUGCUUAACACAUGCAAGUCGAACGGAAAGGCCCUGCUUUUGUGGUGUGCUCGAUUGGCGAACGGGUGAGUAACACGUGAGUAUCCUGCCCUUGACUUUGGGAUAACUUCACGAAACUGGGGCUAAUAUCGGAUAGGAUCUCCUGCUCCAUGGUGGGCGUUGGAAAGUUUCGGCGGUUGGGGAUGGACUCGCGGCUUAUCAGCUUGUUGGUGGGGUAGUUGCUUACCAAGGGUUUGACGGGUAGGCGGCCUGAGAGCGCAGACAGGGACAUGAGGACUAAGGGAGGCCGCAGUAUGCAACGGGAGGCAGCAGGCGGGAAUAUGACACAAUGGGCGGGAGCCUGAUGCGGAGACGCCGCGUGCGGGAUGACGGCCUUCGGGUUGAGAACCGCUUUCGCCUGUGACGAAGCGUGAGUGACGGUAAUGAGUAAAGAAGCACCGGCUAACUACGUG